RNAcentral lists this long non-coding RNA (374 nucleotides) under Brassica rapa (field mustard). Its description in RNAcentral is "long non-coding RNA (BRAP_LNC004638)". The record is from RNAcentral. Lineage: Eukaryota; Viridiplantae; Streptophyta; Magnoliopsida; Brassicales; Brassicaceae.
CGACCUUGAAACCGAAGUGUGGUAUCUUGUAUUUCUCUCCUUCCAAAAGAGAUAAACAGAAGCUUGAAAUCGGAGCUUACAUAUUGUCUUGACACGGUGAUUUGCGGAGGAAGUUUUGACCCAUGACAUAACAUCAUCAAACGUGGGAGGAGGUGCAAGAGUAUAUAACAUGCCACUUGAAUCUGUCUAAUCAUUGUAUUAGCUUAUAUCACAUGUGAUUGUCGUUAAACAAGAGUAUAUAUUAUUUCAAUAAUUGUGAAAUCGCGCCGUUGGAAAUUCGAAAUACACAUGCAAAAAAAAAACAAAUUAUAGCCAGCUUUGCUCCAACACAUAUCUAUCCGCUUUCUGAACUAUAAUAUUCUCCUUUGUUUCGG